AGCGAACGCUGGCGGCAGGCCUAACACAUGCAAGUCGAACGGAUCCUUCGGGAUUAGUGGCGGACGGGUGAGUAACACGUGGGAACGUGCCCCUUGGUUCGGAACAACUCAGGGAAACUUGAGCUAAUACCGGAUGUGCCCUUCGGGGGAAAGAUUUAUCGCCAUUGGAGCGGCCCGCGUCUGAUUAGCUAGUUGGUGAGGUAACGGCCCACCAAGGCGACGAUCAGUAGCUGGUCUGAGAGGAUGAUCAGCCACACUGGGACUGAGACACGGCCCAGACUCCUACGGGAGGCAGCAGUGGGGAAUCUUGCGCAAUGGGCGAAAGCCUGACGCAGCCAUGCCGCGUGAAUGAUGAAGGUCUUAGGAUUGUAAAAUUCUUUCAGCGGGGACGAUAAUGACGGUACCCGCAGAAGAAGCUCCGGCUAACUUCGUG
Molecule: ribosomal RNA, 433 nt
Filed under: uncultured bacterium
Lineage: Bacteria
Description: partial 16S ribosomal RNA
Rfam family: Bacterial small subunit ribosomal RNA
Source: RNAcentral